This 1099-nucleotide long non-coding RNA is filed under the name Salvia miltiorrhiza (redroot sage). RNAcentral's name for it is "long non-coding RNA (SMIL_LNC004020)". Lineage: Eukaryota; Viridiplantae; Streptophyta; Magnoliopsida; Lamiales; Lamiaceae. The record is from RNAcentral.
GAUUGCCACCCCAACCCCUCCGCAGCCAGUGAAUCACCGCCCCUCUGCAGCCGGCGUAGAGCUCGAUCCUGGAUCGCAAUUUCCAGCGAACCCCAUCUCUACAAUUCUUUCUUCGCGCAGCCUGUAUCACGGAAAAACUCCGAAGAAAGUCUGUGGGUUGCAGCCUGAAUCAGAGGGUUGCUCACCAAGCCAUCUGUACGAGGGCGACACCAAUGGGUUGAACAGGGUCUCCUAUUUUCGAGCAUCGUAUCGCCCCAUUCCUCUUGAUGGAGUCAAAGCUGCCACCGCUUUGGGUUGAAUCAGGGUAAGUUGAUGAUAUCCACAGCUUCGAAACUUAGUUAAUCGGGUCUUAUUGCACUAAAUGAGUUGGCAAAGAUUCGGACCAUGGAUGAGCAUUAUGAAGCUAAGUUUUUAAUCUCCUUUGGCUUUGUUGAUUUUUUGUGAAUCAAUCAUGUUUCUCUUACAACUAUCCUAGUUGGCGUUGAUUUAAACACUUGAGUGCUGAUGUUAAUUAACUAAGAUAUGGGCUUUACAUGAUAUUCGUGGGAGAAUCGAAUAGUAGAGGGCUCGUCUGGGGAUUUUGUUCUUGAAAUAUUUGCAUGAUUGAUAGUUUGAUUUUCAGUUUAAGUUGCCCCAUGAAUCUAUCAUAAUGAUGAAUAUUUGUCAAUGAAAUUUUGGGACCAAUAUUGCUAGAUUUUACUAAGAUUCUGCUAUAAUUUUGGGCUAAUAUUGGGAUUGAUUUUGCUGCAAUUUUGCUAUGAUUUUGCACUGUCACGUUGAGAAGGCAACAUAUGGAAAGGGUUAAAUUGCAUUCGAAAUUACCUUCAAAUCUCUACAUCAAUUUUGCUUAUUAUUUUAUCUUAUGGGACACGGGUGCUGGUACUUUCCAGCUCUGAUAUAGCCUGUGCCGCCUCACUCUAUCCUUGUUCCUAGUUUCCCAAAUCCAAAAACAUUUCCAUGAUUUUAUCCAUUCAUGUGAGAGCUCUGAUUUCCCUUUUUUUGUUGUGGGCUAAAAGAUGCAGAUAUUGAACCCCUAAAAUUGCAUAAAAUCGGGCGAGGAACAGAACCUCUGUCAGCUUCUGGCCAAUUGCUCCACUCU